This 110-nucleotide ribosomal RNA is filed under the name uncultured archaeon. RNAcentral's name for it is "partial 16S ribosomal RNA". The record is from RNAcentral.
AAGCGCGACAAGGUUAUCCGAGUGCUUCCUGCUAAAGGAAUCUUUUGUUAAUCGUAAAACCACUAAUGAAUAAGGGGUGGGCAAGAUCGGGUGCCACCACCCCCGGUAAA